This 647-nucleotide long non-coding RNA is filed under the name Sorghum bicolor (sorghum). RNAcentral's name for it is "long non-coding RNA (SBIC_LNC018137)". The record is from RNAcentral. Lineage: Eukaryota; Viridiplantae; Streptophyta; Magnoliopsida; Poales; Poaceae.
AAGCAAGGAAUACAAAAAUCUUCAACAAUGAAACUCAAACCCCCGACCAAGUCCUUACCCUAUGUAUGCUUGCUGCUAUCCAGUGGAAACACAGGCUUGCACGCCUGAAAAAAGCAAUUGCCGACACCUGGUGUUCCGUCUUCCAGAUGGCAAGACAAGGCCAGGGAUAGAUUAGAAUGCCUACUAUUGUACCUUCCAAUUCUGUCUUGAUCACGAUGCUGUGACCUACAAUCUUUAAGCGCUAUGCUAAGCGUGCACAUGUAAUUUAAACAUCAGUCGUUUGGGGCAUAUAAAUAUACUUCAGGUGGGGAGCGACUCCCUCCGUUGACAGUAAAAAAAAUAUUUGAAAACUAUAGAUAUGGAACUAUUCCAACUGGAAAAAGGUUUGCACAUAACUUUUUCCAUCUUCUUAUAAUUAUCUCUAUCCUAACAGUAAUGAGAAAACUCACCCCCUAACAUUAAAAAAAAAUGAAAACAACUUCAAAUUAUCUCAAGGAUGAAAUGAACCUUCACAUGCCACUACAAAUUAAUUAUCAAAGAUGUGUGGUUCUUUUUUCUCGAAAUCUUGAUUCUUCUUCAUAGUUCAUACAAGACAAGAAAGUUCAUUCACAAACCGAAGGACCUCACAAAGAAACUCCAACAUCUCC